Catagonus wagneri (Chacoan peccary) is the source of this 79-nucleotide small nucleolar RNA. Ensembl annotates it as small nucleolar RNA, C/D box 45C. Its record names the gene SNORD45C. The record is from Ensembl. Lineage: Eukaryota; Metazoa; Chordata; Mammalia; Artiodactyla; Tayassuidae.
GGUCGAUGAUGAGCUGGCAUGUAUUCUGAAUCUGAAGUUGAUUAGUACUACUUUAGCUCUAGAAUUACUCUGAGACCUG